RNAcentral lists this ribosomal RNA (1364 nucleotides) under Microbacterium laevaniformans. Its description in RNAcentral is "bacterial SSU rRNA". It matches the Rfam family "Bacterial small subunit ribosomal RNA", at positions 67 to 1441 of the family's 1533-position model. The record is from RNAcentral. Lineage: Bacteria; Bacillati; Actinomycetota; Actinomycetes; Micrococcales; Microbacteriaceae.
CGGUGAAGCCCAGCUUGCUGGGUGGAUCAGUGGCGAACGGGUGAGUAACACGUGAGCAAUCUGCCCCUGACUCUGGGAUAAGCGCUGGAAACGGCGUCUAAUACUGGAUACGAACCGUGGAGGCAUCUUCAACGGUUGGAAAGAUUUUUUGGUCAGGGAUGAGCUCGCGGCCUAUCAGCUUGUUGGUGAGGUAAUGGCUCACCAAGGCGUCGACGGGUAGCCGGCCUGAGAGGGUGACCGGCCACACUGGGACUGAGACACGGCCCAGACUCCUACGGGAGGCAGCAGUGGGGAAUAUUGCACAAUGGGCGAAAGCCUGAUGCAGCAACGCCGCGUGAGGGAUGACGGCCUUCGGGUUGUAAACCUCUUUUAGCAGGGAAGAAGCGAAAGUGACGGUACCUGCAGAAAAAGCGCCGGCUAACUACGUGCCAGCAGCCGCGGUAAUACGUAGGGCGCAAGCGUUAUCCGGAAUUAUUGGGCGUAAAGAGCUCGUAGGCGGUUUGUCGCGUCUGCUGUGAAAUCCCGAGGCUCAACUUCGGGUCUGCAGUGGGUACGGGCAGACUAGAGUGCGGUAGGGGAGAUUGGAAUUCCUGGUGUAGCGGUGGAAUGCGCAGAUAUCAGGAGGAACACCGAUGGCGAAGGCAGAUCUCUGGGCCGUAACUGACGCUGAGGAGCGAAAGGGUGGGGAGCAAACAGGCUUAGAUACCCUGGUAGUCCACCCCGUAAACGUUGGGAACUAGUUGUGGGGUCCAUUCCACGGAUUCCGUGACGCAGCUAACGCAUUAAGUUCCCCGCCUGGGGAGUACGGCCGCAAGGCUAAAACUCAAAGGAAUUGACGGGGACCCGCACAAGCGGCGGAGCAUGCGGAUUAAUUCGAUGCAACGCGAAGAACCUUACCAAGGCUUGACAUAUACGAGAACGCUGCAGAAAUGUAGAACUCUUUGGACACUCGUAAACAGGUGGUGCAUGGUUGUCGUCAGCUCGUGUCGUGAGAUGUUGGGUUAAGUCCCGCAACGAGCGCAACCCUCGUUCUAUGUUGCCAGCACGUAAUGGUGGGAACUCAUGGGAUACUGCCGGGGUCAACUCGGAGGAAGGUGGGGAUGACGUCAAAUCAUCAUGCCCCUUAUGUCUUGGGCUUCACGCAUGCUACAAUGGCCGGUACAAAGGGCUGCAAUACCGUGAGGUGGAGCGAAUCCCAAAAAGCCGGUCCCAGUUCGGAUUGAGGUCUGCAACUCGACCUCAUGAAGUCGGAGUCGCUAGUAAUCGCAGAUCAGCAACGCUGCGGUGAAUACGUUCCCGGGUCUUGUACACACCGCCCGUCAAGUCAUGAAAGUCGGUAACACCUGAAGCCGGUGGCCCAACCC